RNAcentral lists this long non-coding RNA (207 nucleotides) under Elaeis guineensis (African oil palm). Its description in RNAcentral is "long non-coding RNA (EGUI_LNC028827)". The record is from RNAcentral. Lineage: Eukaryota; Viridiplantae; Streptophyta; Magnoliopsida; Arecales; Arecaceae.
UUUUAACAAAUAUAUAUAACUGAUAGAAAAAUAAUAAGAUUCAUACAUUAUCAAUAUGAUAGUUGAAUAUUAUUAUCAAAAUUUUGUUCAACAUGUCACAUGUUAUUAAUCAAUAAUUUUAUCCAGUCAUCUUUCAGAGAAAUUACUUAUGAUAAUCUGGUUAACACAAUUUUGAUCCAAACAAUAUUAUUUUUUUAGCACUAGAUU